GAUCAGUGCUCAUUCUUGAUUUCAGCAGUUGAUCUGCCUUCGGAGGUUUCCUUAGCUGACUGUCCAAACUCUUUCUUGCGAUCUCAGAACAGCUACAAGCUCUAUGCUCAUCAUCUGUAGCUAUAGUUUCAGAUUGGCUGGGUAAAGUUCAAGGUUACAGUGGCCACCACCAUCUAUCCAAAGAGGGUCAUAUUUGUUUUUGCUAAGCUCCCAAAGCUGCUUCCCGUGCAACCAAUCCACAACUUCAUCUGCAGUACCCUUCCAGAAGGAUGUAAACAAGGCGAUGGUUAUUUUUCUAGAUCCACCAAAAACGUUCAGAAAAGACAACAUAUCAUAUUGGUAACUCAGCUUUUUACUGUUGUCACAGUUCUGUAUGGUAGUUCAUCUAUUAGAUUAAAAUAACAAAUCAGUGAUAGCUGCAAUGACCUACAAAGUUUUAUCUGGAGCA
Long non-coding RNA from Zingiber officinale, 448 nucleotides. RefSeq lists it as uncharacterized. The transcript is spliced from 2 exons. Lineage: Eukaryota; Viridiplantae; Streptophyta; Magnoliopsida; Zingiberales; Zingiberaceae. The record is from RefSeq and is a predicted model, not a curated record.